CUUGGAAGCAGCCAUUCAUUUAAAGAGUGCGUAACAGCUCACUAGUCGAGCGAUCCCGCGUGGAUAAUACACGGGCAUUAAACUGUCAACCGAAGCCGUGGGGUCAGCGAAAAGCUGACCGGUAGGAGAGCAUUCCUGCCAGCGUUGAAGGUCACCCGCGAGAGUGACUGGAGCGGCAUGAAAAGCAAAUGUAGGCAUAAGUAACGAUAAUGGGGGCGAGAACCCCCCACGCCGCAAGACCAAGGCUUCCCCGGCAAUGUCAAUCAGCCGGGGGUCAGCCGGCCUCUAAGGCUAACCCGAAGGGGGAUGCCGACGAGAAACGGGUUAACAUUCCCGUGCUUCUCGUCACCGUGACGCGGUGACGGGGUGAUGAAUGGACCGCGCGCUGACGGAAUAGCGCGUUGAAGGCCGUACCCUUCGAGGGUGGUAGUCAAGCACGCCACCCGAGGCGACAGCCGAUAGUACCACGAGACUCCGGUCGAGUGGAUAGCGUCCAGGCAAUUUACCCCCGAGAAAACCCGCUAAACUUCAAGUGACGAGGAACCGUACUGUAAACGGACACACGUGGUCGGGUAGAACAUACCAAGGCGCUCGAGUGAUUCAUGGUCAAGGAACUAGGCAAAAUAGUCCUGUAACUUCGGGAAAAAGGACGCUCUAGUGAUAGAGCCGCAGAGUAAUGGCCCAGGCGACUGUUUACCAAAAACACAUGGCUAUGCCAAAUCGAAAGAUGACGUAUAUGGCCUGACACCUGCCCGGUGCCGGAAGGUUAAGAGGAGAGCUCAUCGGAAACGAGAAGGUUUGAAUUGAAGCCCCGGUAAACGGCGGCCGUAACUAUAACGGUCCUAAGGUAGCGAAAUUCCUUGUCGGGUAAGUUCCGACCUGCACGAAUGGUGUAACGAUCUGGGCACUGUCUCGACCAUGAGCUCGGUGAAAUUGUAGUUCCGGUGAAGAUGCCGGGUACCCGCGACGGGACGGAAAGACCCCGUGAACCUUUACUGCAGCUUCGCGUUGUUCCCGGGCACGGGACGUGUAGGAUAGGUCGGAGGCUACGAUUCGGUUUCGCCAGGAAUCGAGGAGCCAUCGUUGAAAUACGACCCUUCUCUUGUCUGGGAUCUAACCCUAGGUACAGGGGACACCGCGUGGUGGGUAGUUUGACUGGGGUGGUCGCCUCCAAAAGCGUAACGGAGGCUUCCAAAGGUACCCUCGGGUUGGUUGGUAAUCAACCUCAGAGUGCAAUGGCACAAGGGUGCUUGACCGGGAGACCAACGAGUCGAUCGGGUGCGAAAGCAGGGCAUAGUGAUCCGGUGAUCCCGCGUGGAAGGGUCAUCGCUCAAAGGAUAAAAGGUACUCCGGGGAUAACAGGCUGAUCGCCCCCAAGAGCUCAUAUCGACGGGGCGGUUUGGCACCUCGAUGUCGGCUCGUCACAU
RNAcentral lists this ribosomal RNA (1427 nucleotides) under human gut metagenome. RNAcentral's name for it is "bacterial LSU rRNA". It matches the Rfam family "Bacterial large subunit ribosomal RNA", at positions 1105 to 2545 of the family's 2925-position model. The record is from RNAcentral.